Long non-coding RNA from Neltuma alba, 95 nucleotides. RefSeq lists it as uncharacterized. The record is from RefSeq and is a predicted model, not a curated record. The transcript has 4 exons. Lineage: Eukaryota; Viridiplantae; Streptophyta; Magnoliopsida; Fabales; Fabaceae.
UUAAAGAUAAGUUUUGAGAAGAUAUGGAGGGGUUGGUUCAAAGCAUACCACUUGAAGAAAAAAAUUUUAUCGGUGGACCCCGCGGAAUUUUCCUA